Oryctolagus cuniculus (rabbit) is the source of this 164-nucleotide small nuclear RNA. Its record names the gene U1. It matches the Rfam family "U1 spliceosomal RNA". From Rfam's summary of the family: U1 is a small nuclear RNA (snRNA) component of the spliceosome (involved in pre-mRNA splicing). Its 5' end forms complementary base pairs with the 5' splice junction, thus defining the 5' donor site of an intron. There are significant differences in sequence and secondary structure between metazoan and yeast U1 snRNAs, the latter being much longer (568 nucleotides as compared to 164 nucleotides in human). The record is from Ensembl. Lineage: Eukaryota; Metazoa; Chordata; Mammalia; Lagomorpha; Leporidae.
ACACUUACCUGGCAGGGGAGAUACCAUGAUCACGAAGGCGGUUUUCCCAGGGCAAGGCUUAUCCAUUGCACUCCAGAUGUGCUGACCUCUGCGAUUUCCCCAAAUGCGGGAAACUCGACUGCAUAAUUUGUGGUAGCGGGGGACUGCGUUCACGCUCUCCCCUG